UAUCGGAGAGUUUGAUCCUGGCUCAGGACGAACGCUGGCGGCGUGCCUAAUACAUGCAAGUCGAGCGGACUUGAUGGAGCUUGCUCCUGAUAGUCAGCGG
This 100-nucleotide ribosomal RNA is filed under the name Bacillus sp. M6-12. Its description in RNAcentral is "partial 16S ribosomal RNA". It matches the Rfam family "Bacterial small subunit ribosomal RNA", at positions 1 to 98 of the family's 1533-position model. The record is from RNAcentral. Lineage: Bacteria; Bacillati; Bacillota; Bacilli; Caryophanales; Bacillaceae.